GGACUCUCAACCACUGCACCACCAGGGAAGCCCUCUUUGCGGUUUUAAUCUGCAUUUCCCUGAUGACUGAUGAGUGCCUCCUGACUCUUGUUAUAUGAUGGUACCCUGAGAAAAUGAUAUUUGAUUUGCACGCUGAGCUGAACAACUGAGGCUGCAGCCCAGCUGCCCCAGGAGCUGAGGAGUCAAUACCCGGUGGGAAACGGGUGCAGCAUUUUGUCCCUGGAAGACUGGAGCGUUUGCAUGAGUUCCUAGCACCAACGAGACACUGGAAACCAAUGAGAUGGCUGGCAAGAUGGAGUCUGUUAAA
Molecule: non-coding RNA, 307 nt
Organism: Kogia breviceps (pygmy sperm whale)
Lineage: Eukaryota; Metazoa; Chordata; Mammalia; Artiodactyla; Physeteridae
Source: RefSeq, a predicted model, not a curated record